Molecule: ribosomal RNA, 207 nt
Filed under: uncultured bacterium
Lineage: Bacteria
Description: partial 16S ribosomal RNA
Rfam family: Bacterial small subunit ribosomal RNA
Source: RNAcentral
UUCGGAUUGCAGGCUGAAACCGCCUGCAUGAAGUUGGAAUCGCUAGUAAUCGCGGAUCAGCAUGCCGCGGUGAAUACGUUCCCGGGCCUUGUACACACCGCCCGUCACACCAUGAGAGUCGGGAACACCCGAAGUCCGUAGUCUAACCGCAAGGGGACGCGGCCGAAGGUGGGUUCGAUAAUUGGGGUGAAGUCGUAACAAGGUAAC